CACUACAACGGGUGGAGCCUGCGGUUUAAUUGGAUUCAACGCCGGAAAUCUCACCGGGGCGACAGCAAUAUGAAGGUCAGGCUGAAGACCUUACCCGAUUAGCUGAGAGGUGGUGCAUGGCCGUCGUCAGUUCGUACUGUGAAGCAUCCUGUUAAGUCAGGCAACGAGCGAGACCCACGUCCACAGUUGCCAGCAUACCCUCCGGGGUGAUGGGUACACUGUGGAGACCGCCGCUGCUAAAGCGGAGGAAGGAGUGGGCAACGGUAGGUCAGUAUGCCCCGAAUCUCCCGGGCUACACGCGGGCUACAAUGGUUGGUACAAUGGGCAUCUACCCCGAAAGGGGAAGGAAAUCUCUUAAAGCCAAUCGUAGUUCGGAUUGAGGGCUGCAACUCGCCCUCAUGAAGCUGGAAUCCGUAGUAAUCGCGUUUCAACAGAACGCGGUGAAUACGUCCCUGCUCCUU
RNAcentral lists this ribosomal RNA (461 nucleotides) under uncultured Methanosaeta sp. Its description in RNAcentral is "bacterial SSU rRNA". It matches the Rfam family "Archaeal small subunit ribosomal RNA", at positions 877 to 1338 of the family's 1478-position model. The record is from RNAcentral. Lineage: Archaea; Methanobacteriati; Methanobacteriota; Methanomicrobia; Methanotrichales; Methanotrichaceae.